GGGACAGUAGCUCAAUGGUAGAGCAGUUGCCUUUUAAGCAAUUGGUUCGGGGUUCGAGUCCCCGCUGUCCCACCA
RNAcentral lists this transfer RNA (75 nucleotides) under Puniceicoccales bacterium. RNAcentral describes it as "tRNA-Lys". It matches the Rfam family "tRNA". From Rfam's summary of the family: Transfer RNA (tRNA) molecules are approximately 80 nucleotides in length. Their secondary structure includes four short double-helical elements and three loops (D, anti-codon, and T loops). The record is from RNAcentral. Lineage: Bacteria; Pseudomonadati; Verrucomicrobiota; Opitutia; Puniceicoccales.